GCCCUCGUAGUUCAAUGGAUAGAACGUUGGCUUCCGGAGCCAAAGGUUCCAGGUUCGAGUCCUGGCGGGGGCA
Molecule: transfer RNA, 73 nt
Filed under: Candidatus Berkelbacteria bacterium
Lineage: Bacteria; Candidatus Berkelbacteria
Description: tRNA-Arg
Rfam family: tRNA
About the family: Transfer RNA (tRNA) molecules are approximately 80 nucleotides in length.
Source: RNAcentral